CCUACGGGUGGCAGCAGUGGGGAAUAUUGGACAAUGGGCGAAAGCCUGAUCCAGCCAUGCCGCGUGUGUGAAGAAGGCCUUCGGGUUGUAAAGCACUUUCAGUGGGGAAGAAAGCCUUGGGGCUAAUACCCUCGAGGAAGGACAUCACCCACAGAAGAAGCACCGGCUAACUCCGUGCCAGCAGCCGCGGUAAUACGGAGGGUGCGAGCGUUAAUCGGAAUUACUGGGCGUAAAGCGCGCGUAGGCGGUCUGAUAAGCCGGUUGUGAAAGCCCCGGGCUCAACCUGGGAACGGCAUCCGGAACUGUCAGGCUAGAGUGCAGGAGAGGAAGGUAGAAUUCCCGGUGUAGCGGUGAAAUGCGUAGAGAUCGGGAGGAAUACCAGUGGCGAAGGCGGCCUUCUGGACUGACACUGACGCUGAGGUGCGAAAGCGUGGGUAGCAAACAGGAUUAGAACCCGGUAGUC
This 463-nucleotide ribosomal RNA is filed under the name Vreelandella stevensii. RNAcentral describes it as "partial 16S ribosomal RNA". It matches the Rfam family "Bacterial small subunit ribosomal RNA", at positions 338 to 795 of the family's 1533-position model. Lineage: Bacteria; Pseudomonadati; Pseudomonadota; Gammaproteobacteria; Oceanospirillales; Halomonadaceae. The record is from RNAcentral.